CAGUAGCCGCGGUAAUACGAAGGGGGCUAGCGUUGUUCGGAUUUACUGGGCGUAAAGCGCACGUAGGCGGAUCCUUAAGUCAGAGGUGAAAUCCCAAGGCUCAACCUUGGAACUGCCUUUGAUACUGGGGAUCUCGAGUUCGGGAGAGGUGAGUGGAACUGCGAGUGUAGAGGUGAAAUUCGUAGAUAUUCGCAAGAACACCAGUGGCGAAGGCGGCUCACUGGCCCGAUACUGACGCUGAGGUGCGAAAGCGUGGGGAGCAAACAGGAUUAGAUACCCCUGUAGUCCCUGUCUCUUAUAC
RNAcentral lists this ribosomal RNA (301 nucleotides) under uncultured bacterium. Its description in RNAcentral is "partial 16S ribosomal RNA". It matches the Rfam family "Bacterial small subunit ribosomal RNA", at positions 509 to 807 of the family's 1533-position model. The record is from RNAcentral.